GGUUAAGAUAUUAAGGGCAAUCGGUGGAUGCCUAGGCGCCAGGAGGCGAAGAAGGACGUGGGAGGCUGCGAAAAGCCUCGGGGAGCCGCCAAACAGGCUUUGAUCCGGGGAUUUCCGAAUGGGGUAACCCACCUGGAGUCAUAUCCAGGUAUCCCGUACUUAGGUGCGGGAGGCGAACCCGGGGAAGUGAAACAUCUCAGUACCCGGAGGAGAAGAAAUCAAAAGAGAUUCCCUGAGUAGCGGCGAGCGAAAGGGGAGUAGCCCAAACCGUGUGGCUUGCCACGCGGGGUUGUGGGGCUGUCCACAAGCGAUCCAUGAGUAAGUAGCAGAAGCACCUGGGAAGGUGCCCCAUAGAGGGUGAAAGGCCCGUAUGCGAAACUGAAAGUGGCGCGGACAGUACCCGAGUACUGCGGGGCACGUGGAACCCUGUGGGAAUCUGGGGGGACCAUCCUCCAAGGCUAAAUACUCCCUGGCGACCGAUAGCGGAUAGUACCGUGAGGGAAAGGUGAAAAGAACCCCGGGAGGGGAGUGAAAUAGAACCUGAAACCGAUUGCCUACAAGCAGUCCGAGCCUGGCGUAAGCUGGGUGAGGGCGUGCCUUUUGCAUAAUGGGCCAGCGAGUUAAUCUGCAGUGCGAGGUUAAGCCUUUAAGAGGUGGAGCCGUAGCGAAAGCGAGUCUGAAGAGGGCGAUAAGUACUGCGGAUUAGACCCGAAGCCGGGUGAUCUAUCCAUGGGCAGGGUGAAGGUAAGGUAACACUUACUGGAGGCCCGAACCGGUGUAGGUUGAAAACUACUCGGAUGACCUGUGGAUAGGGGUGAAAGGCCAAUCAAACUCGGUGAUAGCUGGUUCUCCCCGAAAUAUAUUGAGGUAUAGCCUCAGGCGAUGACUUGCGGAGGUAGAGCACUGGAAGGGCUAGGGGCCCCACCAGGUUACCAAACCCUACCAAACUCCGAAUGCCGUAAGUUUAGCCUGGGAGUCAGACUGUGGGUGAGAAGGUCCAUGGUCGAGAGGGAAACAGCCCAGACCGUCGGCUAAGGUCCCUAAAUGUACACUAAGUGGGAAAGGAGGUGGAGCUACUGAGACAGCCAGGAGGUUGGCUUAGAAGCAGCCAUCCUUUAAAGAAAGCGUAAUAGCUCACUGGUCUAGUGGCUCUGCGCCGAAAAUGUAACGGGGCUCAAGUGUACUACCGAAGCCACGGCUGAGUACCGUAAGGUACUCGGGGUAGGGGAGCGUUCUCUACGGGAAGAAGGUAUACCGUGAGGUGUGCUGGACUGUAGAGAAGUGAAUAUGUUGGCAUGAGUAACGAUAAAGAGAGUGAGAAACUCUCUCGCCGUAAGCCCAAGGUUUCCUGGGUAAAGCUAAUCUGCCCAGGGUUAGUCGGUCCCUAAGGCGAGGCCGAGAGGCGUAGCUGAUGGGAAGCAGGUUAAUAUUCCUGCACCUGUUGGUUAGUCGUUUGAGCGAAGGGGGGACGCAGAAGGGUAGGUCAGCCGACUGUUGGAAUAGUCGGUUCAAGCCUGUAGGCGGGGAGCUUAGGCAAAUCCGGGCUCCUGUUAACGCUGAGGGGUGAGUACGAGUCUAUAACGGACGAAGUGACUGAGCCCAUGCUGCCGAGAAAAGCCUCUAAGCGAGACUAACUGGCAGACCGUACCGCAAACCGACACAGGUGGGCGGGGUGAGUAACCUAAGGCGCUCGAGCGAACUCUGGUUAAGGAACUCGGCAAAAUGACCCUGUAACUUCGGGAGAAGGGGUGCUCUUGGUGGUGAAGGUAGAACUACUGGAGCUGCUGAGAGCCGCAGAGAAAUGGUGGGGGCGACUGUUUACUAAAAACACAGGUCUCUGCGAAGUCGUAAGACGACGUAUAGGGACUGACGCCUGCCCGGUGCCGGAAGGUUAAGGGGAGGAGUUAGGGGUAACCCGAAGCUCUGAACCGAAGCCCCGGUAAACGGCGGCCGUAACUAUAACGGUCCUAAGGUAGCGAAAUUCCUUGUCGGGUAAGUUCCGACCUGCACGAAUGGCGUAACGAUCCCCACACUGUCUCAACCAGAGGCUCGGUGAAAUUGAACUCCCGGUGAAGAUGCCGGGUACCCGCAGCAGGACGGAAAGACCCUGUGCACCUUUACUACAGCUUGACAUUGGGUCUUGGAUUAUCAUGUGUAGGAUAGGUGGGAGACUGAGAAGCCUGGACGCCAGUUCAGGUGGAGUCGUCCUUGAAAUACCACCCUUGGUAAUCUAGGGCUCUAACCCAAGGCAGUAAUCCUGCUUGGGGACAGUGUCUGGUGGGUAGUUUGACUGGGGCGGUCGCCUCCUAAAAGGUAACGGAGGCGCGCAAAGGUUCCCUCAGGCUGAUUGGAAACCAGCCGUUGAGUGCAAAGGCAUAAGGGAGCUUGACUGUGAGAGAGACAUCUCGAGCAGGGACGAAAGUCGGCCUUAGUGAUCCGGUGGUUCCGCAUGGAAGGGCCAUCGCUCAUCGGAUAAAAGGUACGCCGGGGAUAACAGGCUGAUCACGCCCAAGAGUUCACAUCGACGGCGUGGUUUGGCACCUCGAUGUCGGCUCAUCACAUCCUGGGGCUGGAGCAGGUCCCAAGGGUACGGCUGUUCGCCGUUUAAAGUGGUACGCGAGCUGGGUUUAGAACGUCGUGAGACAGUUCGGUCCUCAUCCGCUGUGGGCGUAGGAGACUUGAGGGGGUCUGUCCCUAGUACGAGAGGACCGGGAUGGACGAUCCUCUAGUGGACCUGUUGUCGCGCCAGCGGCACAGCAGGGUAGCUAUGAUCGGACGGGAUAACCGCUGAAGGCAUCUAAGCGGGAAGCCCUCCCCAAGAUAAGGUCUCCCCUCAUCUUCGGAUGACUAAAGGACCCUGGAAGACUACCAGGUAGAUAGGCCGGAAGUGUAAGCGCAGCGAUGCGUUCAGCUAACCGGUACUAAUACUCGGAAGUUAAGCCCU
Molecule: non-coding RNA, 2944 nt
Organism: Desulfonauticus sp. 38_4375
Lineage: Bacteria; Pseudomonadati; Thermodesulfobacteriota; Desulfovibrionia; Desulfovibrionales; Desulfonauticaceae
Source: Rfam